RNAcentral lists this ribosomal RNA (752 nucleotides) under uncultured Actinomycetes bacterium. RNAcentral describes it as "bacterial SSU rRNA". It matches the Rfam family "Bacterial small subunit ribosomal RNA", at positions 184 to 950 of the family's 1533-position model. The record is from RNAcentral. Lineage: Bacteria; Bacillati; Actinomycetota; Actinomycetes.
AGUGGCAUCACCGAAUUUUGAAAGUAUUUCGGUGGAGGAUGACUUCGCGGCCUAUCAGCUUGUUGGUGAGGUAAAGGCUCACCAAGGCGACGACGGGUAUCCGGCCUGAGUGGGCGACCGGACACUCUGGGACUAAGACACGGCCCAGACUCCUACGGGAGGCAGCAGUGGGGAAUAUUGGGCAAUGGACGAAAGUCUGACCCAGCGACGCCGCGUGAGGGAUGAAGGCCUUCGGGUUGUAAACCUCUUUCAGUAGGGAAGAAGCGAAAGUGACGGUACCUAAAGAAGAAGCACCGGCUAACUAUGUGCCAGCAGCCGCGGUAAUACAUAGGGUGCAAGCGUUGUCCGGAAUUAUUGGGCGUAAAGAGCUCGUAGGUGGUUUGUUGCGUCGGGUGUGAAAUUCAGGGGCUCAACCCCUGACCUGCACUCGAUACGGGCAGACUAGAGUUUGGUAGGGGAGACUGGAAUUCCUGGUGUAGCGGUGGAAUGCGCAGAUAUCAGGAGGAACACCAAUGGCGAAGGCAGGUCUCUGGGCCAAUACUGACACUGAGGAGCGAAAGCGCGGGGAGCGAACAGGAUUAGAUACCCUGGUAGUCCGCGCCGUAAACGAUGGGCGCUAGUUGUGGGGACCUUCCACGGUUUCUGCGACGCAGCUAACGCAUUAAGCGCCCCGCCUGGGGAGUACGAUCGCAAGAUUAAAACUCAAAGGAAUUGACGGGGACCCGCACAAGCAGCGGAGCAUGCGGCUUAAU